This 75-nucleotide transfer RNA is filed under the name Schistocerca americana (American grasshopper). Its description in RNAcentral is "tRNA-Pro". It matches the Rfam family "tRNA". Rfam says of the family: Transfer RNA (tRNA) molecules are approximately 80 nucleotides in length. Their secondary structure includes four short double-helical elements and three loops (D, anti-codon, and T loops). The record is from RNAcentral. Lineage: Eukaryota; Metazoa; Arthropoda; Insecta; Orthoptera; Acrididae.
GCUUGGGUAGCUCAGUUGGUAGAGCACUUGCCCGCGGAAGGCAAAGGUCCCGAGUUCGAGUCUCGGUCCGGGGCA